Molecule: small nuclear RNA, 104 nt
Organism: Rattus rattus (black rat)
Lineage: Eukaryota; Metazoa; Chordata; Mammalia; Rodentia; Muridae
Source: RefSeq, a predicted model, not a curated record
GUGCUCGUCAGCAGCACAUAUACUAAAAUUGAACGAUACAAAGAAGAUUAGCAUGGCCCCUGCGCAAGGAUCUACACGCAAAUUGUGAAGGCGUCCAUAUUUUA